Molecule: long non-coding RNA, 407 nt
Filed under: Anser brachyrhynchus (Pink-footed goose)
Lineage: Eukaryota; Metazoa; Chordata; Aves; Anseriformes; Anatidae
Description: lncRNA (ENSABRG00000004105.1)
Source: RNAcentral
CCAUCUCCUGCUGUGAGGUAAAAGUAGAUCAGCACCUGUGAAGAGGCUCUCCAUCACUGCAUGGCCAGAAAUGGCCUCUUUAAUCAGAACUUGGAGGGUAUUUCAGUUCUACAAGAGCCAAGAGUUUAAAGAUAUAAAAUAGUAGUGUGAAGGAAAGAAAAAGAAGUUUUUCUGUCAUUUUAACGGUUUUAAAUCUCACUUCAGUAGCAUUUUCAAGCUUAGAAGGUGAGAUGGAAGGAAUUCCAAAGGGAAGGUUUAAUCCACUUUACAUAUCUGGUGACAGAAUUCAUGCGUAAUCUAGAAGAAAUGGGAAGAUGCUUUCUUCAAGCUAGUCCUCAUUCUGCCUUAUGGUAAGUCCUUUUUCAUUCAAAGUAGUUGUGUUUUCUUUCCAUGCCAUAACUUUGUUG